RNAcentral lists this long non-coding RNA (1258 nucleotides) under Mytilus galloprovincialis (Mediterranean mussel). The record is from RNAcentral. Lineage: Eukaryota; Metazoa; Mollusca; Bivalvia; Mytilida; Mytilidae.
CUAGAGUUUAAUGCGGUCGAUUUAGUUAAGGAGGAAUUUGACAUUAAAUCUGGUAAGAUAUCUUGCAAGCUAUUAAAAUAAAGGAAUAAUAUCUUAAAAAAUAGUUAACUACAUCAUAUCUGACGUCUUAAAAAUAUAAAAUAGUUGUUGAAAAUUGAAAACAAUCACAAAACAUGCUUCUUCUUUUUAUAUAUUCUUCGACAUGAAUGUCGGUCAAUCAGUCUUUGUGAUUUACGAAAACAAUAUAUCUUAGCUUUUGCCGUAUAGAAAUGUUUCAUACUGUUCAUGAUAAUUAAUUCAUAGUCCUGAUCCUAUUAUAUACAAACAUUUUAUAAUAAUACCAUAAAUAAUUUGAUCAUAAGUGACUUUCAUGUGUAUACAAACAAUUGUCCCACGUGAUACGUAGCGUAAAUGUAUGUGAAUGAAUGAAUUCUUUUAUUAAUUAUUCAAAACAGAGUUACUUGAAUUUUUUUCUCAAACUUCUUUAACUUAAAAUGUACAUGUUCAAAUUUAUGUACAGAAAGACUCUGUUAAAUCAUUAUUGGUGACUGUGAACGUGUUUAAUGGAAAAUUACUGGAAUGUUAGGUAAAUCGAUACUAUUUAUUUAGGUAUGUGCUUACUAGAGCAUAACGUCUACGUUUACUAUCAAACAGAGGCUUGCUGAAAGAAGAAAUAAAUAAAACGUUGAUUACAUUUUUUUUUUUGGAAUAUGUCUUUGUAAAAACGGUCCGAAAUCGAAAAAUAUUCGAUGGAAUAGAAUCUCACUAUUUUUUUUUUAAACUUCCUGGAUUUUGAAUUAAAAAAAUAUAGAGAAACGUUUAUGAAUGAAUCAACAAAAACUCAAGGCAGAAACGGCGGGAAAAUAUGAUCUACAUUAUACAUGUGACUUGGAUACACAAUGCCACUGCUUAUCAGUCUUCUAUAGACACACCCUUUCGGAGAACGGAAUCUAGUAUUCUAAACUUAUAUAAAAAAGAAGAUCAAAUAAAAAAAAGUGAUUUCUCAAAUUGCUUUACAUUAACUUUUUCAGAUGCACUGAUUGGAUUUUGAAUGGUAUAUCUAUAUAUACUAGCAGUGAUAACUGAGUAUAUACUGCUUUUGGCAGUGCCCGCUUUUUCCAAGGAGGCAAACAUUACACUUUUUGUAAAAAGUGUAGGUUUCCCCAUAUGUAUAAAGGGCGAACAAUACUUUGACGUUGACCAGAACAAGUGCAGACGAUGUCCGCGUUGUAGAAAAGCUUCCAAUUAUUUGCAAUUU